CCUACGGGAGGCAGCAGUGAGGAAUAUUGGUCAAUGGCCGGAAGGCUGAACCAGCCAAGCCGCGUGAAGGACGAAGGUGCCAAGCAUUGUAAACUUCUUUUGUCAAGGGACAAAAUCAGGCUCGAGAGCCUGACCGAGGGUACUUGAAGAAAAAGCAUCGGCUAACUCCGUGCCAGCAGCCGCGGUAAUACGGGGGAUGCGGUCGUUAUCCGGAUUUAUUGGGUUUAAGGGUAGCGUAGGCGGACUGUUACGUCAGCGGUAAAAGCCCGGGGCUAAACCCCGGCGAGCCGUUGAAACUGGCUGUCUUGAGAGGACGAGGGGUAUGAGGAAUGCGCAGUGUAGCGGUGAAAUGCUUAGAUAUUGCGCAGAACUCCGAUUGCGAAGGCAGCAUACCGGCGGCGAUCUGACGCUGAGGCACGAAAGCGUGGGUAUCGAACAGGAUUAGAUACCCGGGUAGUC
RNAcentral lists this ribosomal RNA (459 nucleotides) under uncultured bacterium. RNAcentral's name for it is "partial 16S ribosomal RNA". It matches the Rfam family "Bacterial small subunit ribosomal RNA", at positions 338 to 795 of the family's 1533-position model. The record is from RNAcentral.